Molecule: ribosomal RNA, 801 nt
Filed under: Lentzea sp.
Lineage: Bacteria; Bacillati; Actinomycetota; Actinomycetes; Pseudonocardiales; Pseudonocardiaceae
Description: bacterial SSU rRNA
Rfam family: Bacterial small subunit ribosomal RNA
Source: RNAcentral
GCGGUAAGGCCCUUCGGGGUACACGAGCGGCGAACGGGUGAGUAACACGUGGGUAACCUGCCCUGUACUCUGGGAUAAGCCCGGGAAACUGGGUCUAAUACCGGAUACGACCCUUGGAGGCAUCUUCGGGGGUGGAAAGUUCCGGCGGUAUGGGAUGGACCCGCGGCCUAUCAGCUUGUUGGUGGGGUAAUGGCCUACCAAGGCGACGACGGGUAGCCGGCCUGAGAGGGUGACCGGCCACACUGGGACUGAGACACGGCCCAGACUCCUACGGGAGGCAGCAGUGGGGAAUAUUGCACAAUGGGCGGAAGCCUGAUGCAGCGACGCCGCGUGGGGGAUGACGGCCUUCGGGUUGUAAACCUCUUUCAGCAGGGACGAAGCGUGAGUGACGGUACCUGCAGAAGAAGCACCGGCUAACUACGUGCCAGCAGCCGCGGUAAUACGUAGGGUGCGAGCGUUGUCCGGAAUUAUUGGGCGUAAAGAGCUCGUAGGCGGUUUGUUGCGUCGGCCGUGAAAACUUGGGGCUUAACCCCGAGCCUGCGGUCGAUACGGGCAGACUUGAGUUCGGCAGGGGAGACUGGAAUUCCUGGUGUAGCGGUGAAAUGCGCAGAUAUCAGGAGGAACACCGGUGGCGAAGGCGGGUCUCUGGGCCGAUACUGACGCUGAGGAGCGAAAGCGUGGGGAGCGAACAGGAUUAGAUACCCUGGUAGUCCACGCCGUAAACGGUGGGUGCUAGGUGUGGGGGACUUCCACGUUCUCCGUGCCGCAGCUAACGCAUUAAGCACCCCGCCUGGGGAGUAC